CAGCCGCCGCGGUAAUACGAAGGGUGCAAGCGUUAAUCGGAAUUACUGGGCGUAAAGCGCACGCAGGCGGUUUGUUAAGUCAGAUGUGAAAUCCCCGAGCUUAACUUGGGAACUGCAUUUGAAACUGGCAAGCUAGAGUCUUGUAGAGGGGGGUGGAAUUCCACGUGUAGCAGUGAAAUGCGUAGAGAUGUGGAGGAACACCGAUGGCGAAGGCAGCCACCUGGUCCACUUCUGACGCUGAGGCGCGAAAGCGUGGGGAGCAAACCGGAUUAGAGACCCGCGUAGUCCCUGUCUCUUAUAC
This 301-nucleotide ribosomal RNA is filed under the name uncultured bacterium. Its description in RNAcentral is "partial 16S ribosomal RNA". It matches the Rfam family "Bacterial small subunit ribosomal RNA", at positions 509 to 807 of the family's 1533-position model. The record is from RNAcentral.